GUCUACAGCCAUGCCACCCUGAACAUGCCUGAUAUUGUCUGAUCUCGGAAGAAAAGCAGGGUCGGGCCUAGUUUGUUCUUGGAUGGGAGACCACCUAGGAAUACCAGGUGCUGUAAGCA
This 119-nucleotide ribosomal RNA is filed under the name Pteropus alecto (black flying fox). The record is from RNAcentral. Lineage: Eukaryota; Metazoa; Chordata; Mammalia; Chiroptera; Pteropodidae. RNAcentral also lists the same sequence under 1 other name.